AUUGAACGCUGGCGGCCGGCCUAACACAUGCAAGUCGAGCGGAUGAAGGGAGCUUGCUCCUGGAUUCAGCGGCGGACGGGUGAGUAAUGCCUAGGAAUCUGCCUGGUAGUGGGGGAUAACGUCCGGAAACGGGCGCUAAUACCGCAUCCGUCCUGAGGGAGAAAGUGGGGGAUCUUCGGACCUCACGCUCUCAGAUGAGCCUAGGUCGGAUUAGCUAGUUGGUGGGGUAAAGGCCUACCAAGGCGACGAUCCGUAACUGGUCUGAGAGGAUGAUCAGUCACACUGGAACUGAGACACGGUCCAGACUCCUACGGGAGGCAGCAGUGGGGAAUAUUGGACAAUGGGCGAAAGCCUGAUCCAGCCAUGCCGCGUGUGUGAAGAAGGUCUUCGGAUUGUAAAGCACUUUAAGUUGGGAGGAAGGGCAGUAAGUUAAUACCUUGCUGUUUUGACGUUACCAACAGAAUAAGCACCGGCUAACUUCGUG
This 484-nucleotide ribosomal RNA is filed under the name uncultured bacterium. RNAcentral describes it as "partial 16S ribosomal RNA". It matches the Rfam family "Bacterial small subunit ribosomal RNA", at positions 30 to 507 of the family's 1533-position model. The record is from RNAcentral.